Molecule: ribosomal RNA, 253 nt
Filed under: uncultured bacterium
Lineage: Bacteria
Description: partial 16S ribosomal RNA
Rfam family: Bacterial small subunit ribosomal RNA
Source: RNAcentral
UACGUAGGGGGCAAGCGUUGUCCGGAUUUAUUGGGCGUAAAGAGCGUGUAGGCGGCUUUACAGGUCCGUUGUGAAAACUCGAGGCUCAACCUCGAGACGCCGGUGGAAACCGUAAGGCUAGAGUCCGGAAGAGGAGAGUGGAAUUCCUGGUGUAGCGGUGGAAUGCGCAGAUAUCAGGAGGAACACCAAUAGCGAAGGCAGCUCGCUGGGACGGUACUGACGCUAAGGCGCGAAAGCGUGGGGAGCGAACAGG